AAUGAAUACAUCGACCAGAUCGAAAACCUCUGCCGCUCACGCGCCCUCCAAGCCUUCCACCUCGACGCCCAAUCCUGGGGCGUCAACGUCCAGCCCUACUCCGGCUCCCCGGCCAACUUCGCCGCCUACACCGCCGUCCUCAACCCCCACGACCGCAUCAUGGGGCUAGAUCUCCCCUCCGGCGGCCACCUCACCCACGGCUACUACACCUCCGGCGGAAAGAAGAUCUCCGCCACCUCCAUUUACUUCGAGAGUCUCCCUUACAAGGUAAACUCCACCACCGGCUACAUCGACUACGACCGCUUGGAAGAAAAAGCCCUAGACUUCAGGCCAAAACUCAUAAUCUGCGGUGGCAGCGCGUACCCUCGCGAUUGGGA
Molecule: long non-coding RNA, 377 nt
Filed under: Glycine max (soybean)
Lineage: Eukaryota; Viridiplantae; Streptophyta; Magnoliopsida; Fabales; Fabaceae
Description: long non-coding RNA (GMAX_LNC001681)
Source: RNAcentral